This is a long non-coding RNA of Tympanuchus pallidicinctus (lesser prairie-chicken), 1055 nucleotides long. RefSeq lists it as uncharacterized. NCBI's taxonomy places the organism in Eukaryota, Metazoa, Chordata, Aves, Galliformes, Phasianidae. The record is from RefSeq and is a predicted model, not a curated record. The transcript has 4 exons.
GUUGUUUCUUUUAAUCUUUAGGUUUUCUGAACUGAUGUGAAGUGCUGCGGUUUAGGAAAGGAUUAUUUAGUGGGCUCAACAUCCGUUGUUAACCACGUUCUCUUUUUAUUUAUGCUUUUGCUGGCAGAAGACAAAGGGCGGGAUGAAAAGGAUUUUCCGCGUUGAAAACCCGACGAGGGAGGCACGUGAUGUAGCAAACUCAAGAGGUCACAAAAACCCGAGAAGGAGAAAUUGAAGAUACUUCUUCAUGCGGUUACACGUGAGGACAAGUCUGAGUUGUGCAGUUUCCUUCAGCUGUUGAAGGUCAUGCUUGAGUUCUAGAAUUUCUAGCAAGUCUGGCUACAGGAAGAGACCUGGUUCAGCAUUUCUACACUUCAAGAUGCUGAAAACUUGAUCUUAUUCGUACAUGGAUUCAAGCAAGCUUGAAUGAGAGUGCAUGUGAUCUUUCCUUUUUACAAGCAAUCUCAGCCUGUGCUGUUUUCACACCCAUGUUCUGAAGCUCUUGUUUUUGACCACGUGGCUGAGAAGGUUUAACAAGAACAACACUAAGUAUGCUACCUGCAGGUCUGAAACAGCAAUGCUUUUCAUACAUCCUAGGAUGUUUUUGUCUGUGGAUAUGAGAAUUGUGAUUCUUUUUAACCUUAGUGAAGUGUGGAAGCUUGCUUCCUACCUCACUUAAAUCCUUUACAUUGCUAAAACAGCAGCAUCUGUUCCUGUUGUGUUGUCAGUCUCUCAGCAUUUUGGCUCUUGCUCCUUUUCCAACUAAUGUGGAAAGUUGGGAGGAGGCAUUAUGAGUGUAAAAUAGCUUUGCCUUGAGUCAUUUCUCUUCCAUGCUGUACUGUAGCUCGUAAACCAUAAUCACUUGUUUGGAAACACUUGUGCAUUGUAUUGGUGAUGAACGAAACUUGGUGCUCUUGGCAUGUGUGAGUCAUAGGUAAGUCUGAAUCUCAAGUGCCUGUCCAGUGCUGUUAAUGGGUGUGCAAACAACACGGCAACACUGUGGGUUUUGUCAAAAGUCUUUAUUUGAAUAAAGUAUCUCGGCUAAUUCUCUCCAA